RNAcentral lists this ribosomal RNA (517 nucleotides) under uncultured marine bacterium. Its description in RNAcentral is "bacterial SSU rRNA". It matches the Rfam family "Bacterial small subunit ribosomal RNA", at positions 57 to 583 of the family's 1533-position model. The record is from RNAcentral.
GCAAGUCGAGCGAAGCUUUUCAGUAGUUUACUACAGAAAAUGACUGAGCGGCGAACGGGUGAGUAACGCGUGAGCAACCUACCUUAGUUACUGGGAUAGCCCGAGGAAACUCGGAUUAAUACCGGAUAUUCUUAUUUAAUCACAUGAUUUUUUAAGGAAAGGUCAGCCGAACUAAGAUGGGCUCGCGUUCUAUCAGCUAGUUGGUAGGGUAAUGGCCUACCAAGGCUACGACGGAUAGCUGGUCUGAGAGGACGAUCAGCCACACUGGGACUGAGACACGGCCCAGACUCCUACGGGAGGCUGCAGCAGGGAAUAUUGCGCAAUGAGCGAAAGCUUGACGCAGCGACACCGAGUGUGGGAUGACGGAUCUAGGUUUAUAAACCACUUUCAGGAGGGAAGAAAAUGACGGUACCUCCACAAGAAGCCCCGGCCAACUACGUGCCAGCAGCCGCGGUAAUACGUAGGGGGCGAGCGUUGUCCGGAUUUAUUGGGCGUAAAGAGCUCGUAGGCGGUUCAA